Molecule: ribosomal RNA, 372 nt
Filed under: uncultured organism
Description: bacterial SSU rRNA
Rfam family: Bacterial small subunit ribosomal RNA
Source: RNAcentral
CAGAGGUGGCAAGCGUUGUUCGGAAUUACUGGGCGUAAAGGGCGCGUAGGCGGCCAUCUAAGUCAGACGUGAAAUCCCCCGGCUUAACCUGGGAACUGCGUCUGAUACUGGACGGCUAGAGUAUGGGAGAGGGAUGUAGAAUUCCAGGUGUAGCGGUGAAAUGCGUAGAUAUCUGGAGGAAUACCGGUGGCGAAGGCGGCAUCCUGGACCAUUUACUGACGCUGAGGCGCGAAAGCUAGGGGAGCAAACGGGAUUAGAUACCCCGGUAGUCCUAGCCCUAAACGAUAAUGCUUGGUGUGGCGGGUAUCGAUCCCUGCCGUGCCGAAGCUAACGCAUUAAGCAUUCCGCCUGGGGAGUACGGUCACAAGGCUG